Molecule: non-coding RNA, 219 nt
Filed under: Terribacillus aidingensis
Lineage: Bacteria; Bacillati; Bacillota; Bacilli; Caryophanales; Bacillaceae
Description: T-box sequence
Rfam family: T-box leader
About the family: Uncharged tRNA acts as the effector for transcription antitermination of genes in the T-box leader family. T-boxes are found upstream of many aminoacyl-tRNA synthetase genes and some amino acid biosynthetic genes usually in Gram-positive bacteria.
Source: RNAcentral
GGAAAUCCGAUGAGGGAAAGAGUAAGUCGAAAUCACUGUGAACAGAGAUCAGGCGUCAUUGGCUGUAAGCGCCUGGCACAGCUUCGAACUGAAAGACAUUCCUUAGGAUCACUGUCGAACAACGCAGUAGACAGUGACGUAGCAGGCGUUAACUGACCAAGGUGGGAUACAGCUGUAUCCAACUAGGGUGGCAACGCGGGAAAAACUCCCGUCCCUUGU